RNAcentral lists this ribosomal RNA (339 nucleotides) under uncultured Pseudomonadota bacterium. RNAcentral describes it as "bacterial SSU rRNA". It matches the Rfam family "Bacterial small subunit ribosomal RNA", at positions 29 to 351 of the family's 1533-position model. Lineage: Bacteria; Pseudomonadati; Pseudomonadota. The record is from RNAcentral.
AACUAACGCUGGCGGCGUGCCUAACACAUGCAAGUCGUACGAGAAAGUUGGCUUCGGCUGAUGAGUAAAGUGGCGCACGGGUGAGUAACGCGUGGAUAAUCUGCCUUUUAGUUGGGAAUAACGUACCGAAAGGUGCGCUAAUACCGGAUAAUACUGAGCAACUACUGUUGCUUAGUCAAAGAAGGCCUCUGUUUACAAGCUUUUGCUGAAAGAUGAGUCCGCGUACCAUUAGCUAGUUGGUAGGGUAAUGGCCUACCAAGGCUACGAUGGUUAGCUGGUCUGAGAGGAUGAUCAGCCACACUGGAACUGAGACACGGUCCAGACUCCUACGGGAGGCAG